This 166-nucleotide non-coding RNA is filed under the name Butyricimonas synergistica. Lineage: Bacteria; Pseudomonadati; Bacteroidota; Bacteroidia; Bacteroidales; Odoribacteraceae. The record is from RNAcentral.
CAUUGCGAGGUGGAAUCUGAAGGAAUCUGGCGGUAAACAUCUGGUCUGACUAACAGAAACUUCAUAUAAGGCAUAUAACCGUGGGUAAGGUUGCUAAACAAAUCAAUGCCCUAUAACUAUUCGGAACGGUUGGUGUAAAUGAAGCAGAUAUAAGGUGGAAAGUUAA